RNAcentral lists this ribosomal RNA (450 nucleotides) under uncultured bacterium. RNAcentral's name for it is "partial 16S ribosomal RNA". It matches the Rfam family "Bacterial small subunit ribosomal RNA", at positions 354 to 796 of the family's 1533-position model. The record is from RNAcentral.
GUGGGGAAUCUUCCGCAAUGGACGAAAGUCUGACGGAGCAACGCCGCGUGAGUGAAGAAGGUUUUCGGAUCGUAAAGCUCUUUCGUUAGGGACGAACGUGCUCUUUGUGAAUAAUGAGGAGUAAUGACGGUACCUAAAUAAGAAGCCACGGCUAACUACGUGCCAGCAGCCGCGGUAAUACGUAGGGGGCAAGCGGUGUCCGGAAUUAUUGGGCGUAAAGCGCGCGCAGGCGGGAUAUCAAUUCUGUCUUAAAAGUGCGAGGCUCAACCUCGUGAGGGGACAGAAACUGUUAUUCUUGAGUGUCGGAGAGGAAAGUGGAAUUCCAAGUGUAGCGGUGAAAUGCGUAGAGAUUUGGAAGAACACCAGUGGCGAAGGCGACUUUCUGGACGAUGUCUGACGCUGAGGCGCGAAAGCUAGGGGAGCGAACGGGAUUAGAUACCCGGGUAGUCC